GAUGAAGAACGUAGCGAAAUGCGAUAAGUAGUGUGAAUUGCAGAAUUCAGUGAAUCAUCGAAUCUUUGAACGCACAUUGCGCCCCUUGGUAUCCCGAGGGGCAUGCCUGUUCGAGCGUCAUUUCACCACUCAAGCCUGGCUUGGUGUUGGGCGACGUCCUCUUUGGGGACGCGCCUCGAAACGCUCGGCGGCGUGGCACCGGCUUUAAGCGUAGCAGAAUCUUUCGCUUUGGAAGUCGGGGCCCCGUCUGCCGGAAGACCUGCUCGUAAGGUUGACCUCGGAUCAGGCAGGGAUACCCGCUGAACUUAAGCAUAUCAAUAAGCGGAGGA
RNAcentral lists this unclassified non-coding RNA (329 nucleotides) under soil metagenome. RNAcentral describes it as "partial contains 5.8S ribosomal RNA, internal transcribed spacer 2, and large subunit ribosomal RNA". The stretch from base 1 to 120 matches the Rfam family "5.8S ribosomal RNA", at positions 35 to 154 of the family's 154-position model. The record is from RNAcentral.